AGUGUGAAGUCGUCACACUGCUACUCUCUACUGCUCUAGCAACCAACUCACCGUCACACGGGCUCAUAAACUUACUUUGCACUUUUUAGCAACUUAGCACCCUCCCCCUCACACACGCACACAUAGAUAA
RNAcentral lists this non-coding RNA (130 nucleotides) under uncultured Nitzschia. Lineage: Eukaryota; Bacillariophyta; Bacillariophyceae; Bacillariales; Bacillariaceae. The record is from RNAcentral.